This 503-nucleotide ribosomal RNA is filed under the name uncultured bacterium. RNAcentral describes it as "partial 16S ribosomal RNA". It matches the Rfam family "Bacterial small subunit ribosomal RNA", at positions 30 to 523 of the family's 1533-position model. The record is from RNAcentral.
AUUGAACGCUGGCGGCAGGCCUAACACAUGCAAGUCGGACGGUAGCACAGAGAGCUUGCUCUCGGGUGACGAGUGGCGGACGGGUGAGUAAUGUCUGGGGAUCUGCCCGAUAGAGGGGAUAACCACUGUAAACGGUGGCUAAUACCGCAUAACGUCGCAAGACCAAAGAGGGGGACCUUCGGGCCUCUCACUAUCGGAUGAACCCAGAUGGGAUUAGCUAGUAGGCGGGGUAAUGGCCCACCUAGGCGACGAUCCCUAGCUGGUCUGAGAGGAUGACCAGCCACACUGGAACUGAGACACGGUCCAGACUCCUACGGGAGGCAGCAGUGGGGAAUAUUGCACAAUGGGCGCAAGCCUGAUGCAGCCAUGCCGCGUGUAUGAAGAAGGCCUUCGGGUUGUAAAGUACUUUCAGCGGGGAGGAAGGCGGUGCGGUUAAUAACCGCGCCGAUUGACGUUACCCGCAGAAUAAGCACCGGCUAACUCUGUGCCAGCCGCCGCCGUAA